AGGCGAAAUAUCCUGGGGAAGAUGGAGAGAGGACUCCUGCUGCAGGGGCUACAGCGGUUUGCAAUCCGAGUAGCUAUUUUGGUUAGUGUUUUUGCUGAAUAAAGUAAAAAUUCAAGUGAUUUAAUUUUUCAAGUGGAACUAAUAUCACGAGGGCUGAAGUUUCUUGUCGUCAGCUGGUAAUUUAGUUUCCAAUUCCGAAAGGAAAAUGGCUAUGCCAAACUUGGAAGAAGUACUUGUCAUGUGGCUUCUGAUACCUUUCACCUUUACCUCUCCUUAAUUUUUCGCAUACGCAGCAUUUCACUCCUUCUCAACCAAUGUUAUGCUGCACAAAAAAUCCAUCCUGUUUCCUGUAGCAAUCAAGGGCAGAUUUUGCUCUGGAAUAGUUGAAAGGCUUGCAGGAAGACAUUCUUUCUUUUAUUUCUAUUCGCAGCACAGCAAGAUAGCUUCAGGAAAAAAAAACAUUUCACUUCUAAUCUUGUUCUCAACUGCUCUAUGUUGAUAAAAUAUUAUUCUGUUGUGUAUUCUUUUGCCCUUCAUUCUGAUGUCUUUCCUCCUUGUCCUUUUAUUAUUUAUGGACCAAACCAAUGCUCUAGCAGGUGGGAUUUCAAAGGCUAAGGAUUCAUCAAGCUUUAUCUUUGGUGUUCUUUUGGCAUUAAAAUUUGGUUUUGUUUCAUCCUACUAAUUGUAUAACUGUAUGUCAAUAUUGUAUGUUUCUAUAUCAAAAUCAAUAAAGCUUAACUAAAACUUGUGCUUUUGAAAUCUGAAGAUUCUGAUAGAUUAUUUUGGUAUUAUGAAAUCUAGAGUCCAUGUGAGCUCAGUUGUCAAGGGGAUGAUGAGAUUACAUAAAUGCCUGAAAUGUGAAGAACAAAAGACGAAGAGACUACCAUGUUGGGGAAUGUAUCGGUGCCACGACUAUGCAUUAGUGCUCUGGAUGAUCCAAUCUGCACUGGAGAAACCAUUCAAUGGGAUGAAUGCAGAGAGCAAACCCAAACACUGUGUUGGCUACACCACAGCAUGGAGGGCAUCUAGCAUUCUUUGAAGGAUUAGCGGCAACCAGCUAUUGGUGGUCAAGGGCUGUAGAUGAAUUUCUUGGUGUUCUACACUCUAGUCCAUACAUGCAUUACAGAAGGUGAACUUUCUGUUAAUUACUCCUACUCUUCUCAUCAAACUGAUAACAAAUUAUUAUCAGAUAUGCGUUGGUGAAUGUAAAUCGUUGUUUUCGGACCUUGUCUAAUUGUGGAAGGAUAUGAUCUUCAA
Molecule: long non-coding RNA, 1257 nt
Organism: Populus nigra (black poplar)
Lineage: Eukaryota; Viridiplantae; Streptophyta; Magnoliopsida; Malpighiales; Salicaceae
Exons: 4
Source: RefSeq, a predicted model, not a curated record